UAUGAACGCUGGCGGCGUGCCUAAUACAUGCAAGUCGAGCGAACGGACGAGAAGCUUGCUUCUCUGAUGUUAGCGGCGGACGGGUGAGUAACACGUGGAUAACCUACCUAUAAGACUGGGAUAACUUCGGGAAACCGGAGCUAAUACCGGAUGAUAUUUUGAACCGCAUGGUUCAAAAGUGAAAGACGGUCUUGCUGUCACUUAUAGAUGGAUCCGCGCUGCAUUAGCUAGUUGGUAAGGUAACGGCUUACCAAGGCAACGAUGCAUAGCCGACCUGAGAGGGUGAUCGGCCACACUGGAACUGAGACACGGUCCAGACUCCUACGGGAGGCAGCAGUAGGGAAUCUUCCGCAAUGGGCGAAAGCCUGACGGAGCAACGCCGCGUGAGUGAUGAAGGUCUUCGGAACGUAAAACUCUGUUAUUAGGGAAGAACAUAUGUGUAAGUAACUGUGCACAUCUUGACGGUACCUAAUCAGAAAGCCACGGCUAACUACGUG
This 497-nucleotide ribosomal RNA is filed under the name uncultured bacterium. Its description in RNAcentral is "partial 16S ribosomal RNA". It matches the Rfam family "Bacterial small subunit ribosomal RNA", at positions 29 to 507 of the family's 1533-position model. The record is from RNAcentral.